AAUUUGAAAUCUGGCCCCCUCGGGGUCCGAGUUGUAAUUUGUAGAGAGUGUUUCGGGGGAGACCGCGGUCUAAGUCAAUUGGAACAUGGCGUCCCAGAGGGUGAGAAUCCCGUAUGUGACCGCGGCUCGAGCCCGUGUGAAGCCUCUUCGACGAGUCGAGUUGUUUGGGAAUGCAGCUCUAAAUGGGUGGUAAAUUUCAUCUAAAGCUAAAUACUGGCUGGAGACCGAUAGCGCACAAGUAGAGUGAUCGAAAGAUGAAAAGCACUUUGGAAAGAGGGUUAAACAGUACGUGAAAUUGUUGAAAGGGAAGCGCUUGCAACCAGACCUGCCCGUAGGCGAUCAACCGCUGUUCUCAGCGGUGCACUCGUUCUGCGAUCAGGCCAGCAUCGGUUCGGGCGGUCGGAUAAAGGCCUUGGGAAUGUAGCUUCCCUUCGGGGGAGUCUUAUAGCCCUCGGUGCAAUGCGGCCAGCCGGGACCGAGGACCGCGCUUCGGCUAGGAUGCUGGCGUAAUGGUUGUAAGCGACCC
This 526-nucleotide ribosomal RNA is filed under the name Melanohalea aff. subolivacea SL-2012. RNAcentral's name for it is "eukaryotic LSU rRNA". It matches the Rfam family "Eukaryotic large subunit ribosomal RNA", at positions 112 to 650 of the family's 3401-position model. The record is from RNAcentral. Lineage: Eukaryota; Fungi; Ascomycota; Lecanoromycetes; Lecanorales; Parmeliaceae.